RNAcentral lists this unclassified non-coding RNA (369 nucleotides) under fungal sp. Its description in RNAcentral is "partial internal transcribed spacer region". The stretch from base 1 to 46 matches the Rfam family "Eukaryotic small subunit ribosomal RNA", at positions 1786 to 1831 of the family's 1831-position model. The record is from RNAcentral. Lineage: Eukaryota; Fungi.
AAGUCGUAACAAGGUUUCCGUAGGUGAACCUGCGGAAGGAUCAUUAACACGUAUCCAAACGUUAAACCCCCCCGUGAACCUUCAUCGUGCUCUAGUGGGCCACUGAUAAACACAGCAAUUCCUGGUAAAUCAUUGUCUGAACAAGCCUUUGAGUCAGGAACCUCUGUACAGUGAGAGCUACAUUGUUUCCCCAAGCAGUCAGUGCGUGAAAGUGGCAACUGACUGUUUCCGAUUUUGCAGCCGCAACACGCGAGCAGAGCUUUGCCAAAGGGUCCCCAUGCCCUCUGCCGAUUUUACAUACAAAGCUCCAUUUUGAAUUAUGGAUGGGGUAAAACCGAACAACUGUUAACAAUGGAUAUCUUGGUUCUC